ACGUUAGCGGCGGACGGGUGAGUAACACGUGGGCAACCUGCCUGUAAGACUGGGAUAACUUCGGGAAACCGAAGCUAAUACCGGAUAGGAUCUUCUCCUUCAUGGGAGAUGAUUGAAAGAUGGUUUCGGCUAUCACUUACAGAUGGGCCCGCGGUGCAUUAGCUAGUUGGUGAGGUAACGGCUCACCAAGGCAACGAUGCAUAGCCGACCUGAGAGGGUGAUCGGCCACACUGGGACUGAGACACGGCCCAGACUCCUACGGGAGGCAGCAGUAGGGAAUCUUCCGCAAUGGACGAAAGUCUGACGGAGCAACGCCGCGUGAGUGAUGAAGGCUUUCGGGUCGUAAAACUCUGUUGUUAGGGAAGAACAAGUACGAGAGUAACUGCUCGUACCUUGACGGUACCUAACCAGAAAGCCACGGCUAACUACGUGCCAGCAGCCGCGGUAAUACGUAGGUGGCAAGCGUUAUCCGGAAUUAUUGGGCGUAAAGCGCGCGCAGGCGGUUUCUUAAGUCUGAUGUGAAAGCCCACGGCUCAACCGUGGAGGGUCAUUGGAAACUGGGGAACUUGAGUGCAGAAGAGAAAAGCGGAAUUCCACGUGUAGCGGUGAAAUGCGUAGAGAUGUGGAGGAACACCAGUGGCGAAGGCGGCUUUUUGGUCUGUAACUGACGCUGAGGCGCG
This 680-nucleotide ribosomal RNA is filed under the name Bacillus sp. I12B-01670. RNAcentral describes it as "bacterial SSU rRNA". It matches the Rfam family "Bacterial small subunit ribosomal RNA", at positions 89 to 755 of the family's 1533-position model. Lineage: Bacteria; Bacillati; Bacillota; Bacilli; Caryophanales; Bacillaceae. The record is from RNAcentral.